AGUGAACGCUGGCGGUAGGCCUAACACAUGCAAGUCGAACGGCAGCACAGUAAGAGCUUGCUCUUACGGGUGGCGAGUGGCGGACGGGUGAGGAAUACAUCGGAAUCUACUUUUUCGUGGGGGAUAACGUAGGGAAACUUACGCUAUUACCGCAUACGACCUACGGGUGAAAGCAGGGGAUCUUCGGACCUUGCGCGAUUGAAUGAGCCGAUGUCGGAUUAGCUAGUUGGCGGGGUAAAGGCCCACCAAGGCGACGAUCCGUAGCUGGUCUGAGAGGAUGGUCAGCCACACUGGAACUGAGACACGGUCCAGACUCCUACGGGAGGCAGCAGUGGGGAAUAUUGGACAAUGGGCGCAAGCCUGAUCCAGCCAUACCGCGUGGGUGAAGAAGGCCUUCGGGUUGUAAAGCCCUUUUGUUGGGAAAGAAAAGCAGCAGGUUAAUACCCCGCUGUUCUGACGGUACCCAAAGAAUAAGCACCGGCUAACUUCGUG
This 492-nucleotide ribosomal RNA is filed under the name uncultured bacterium. RNAcentral describes it as "partial 16S ribosomal RNA". It matches the Rfam family "Bacterial small subunit ribosomal RNA", at positions 29 to 507 of the family's 1533-position model. The record is from RNAcentral.